Molecule: ribosomal RNA, 559 nt
Filed under: Thermomyces lanuginosus
Lineage: Eukaryota; Fungi; Ascomycota; Eurotiomycetes; Eurotiales; Trichocomaceae
Description: eukaryotic LSU rRNA
Rfam family: 5.8S ribosomal RNA (bases 184-337)
Source: RNAcentral
CAAUCUCCCACCCGUGUCUACCACACCUAGUGUUGCUUUGGCGGGCCCACUCCUCCGGUGUUCCGCCGGGGGGGUCGUCCCGGGGCGCGUUGUGCCCCCGGGGCCCGUGUCCGUCAGAGGCACUCACUGUGAACGCUUUUGUGAAUGCGAGGAUUGUCUGAGUGACGAAAUGCAAUCGUUCAAAACUUUCAACAAUGGAUCUCUUGGUUCCGGCAUCGAUGAAGAACGCAGCGAAAUGCGAUAAGUAAUGUGAAUUGCAGAAUUCCGUGAAUCAUCGAAUCUUUGAACGCACAUUGCGCCCUCUGGUAUUCCGGGGGGCAUGCCUGUCCGAGCGUCAUUGCGAACCCUCAAGCACGGCUUGUGUGUUGGGCCGCCGUCCCCUCGUUUGGAGGGGACGGGCCUGAAAGGCAGCGGCGGCGUCGCGUCCGGUCCUCGAGCGUAUGGGGCUCUGUCACGCGCUCAAGGAGGGGUCCGGCCGGGGCCAUAGCCUCUGAAGGUCAAUUCUUCCAAGGUUGACCUCGGAUCAGGUAGGAGUACCCGCUGAACUUAAGCAUAUCAA